This 503-nucleotide ribosomal RNA is filed under the name uncultured bacterium. Its description in RNAcentral is "partial 16S ribosomal RNA". It matches the Rfam family "Bacterial small subunit ribosomal RNA", at positions 29 to 507 of the family's 1533-position model. The record is from RNAcentral.
AACGAACGCUGGCGGCGUGCCUAACACAUGCAAGUCGAACGAGAAAGGGGCUUCGGCUCCGAGUAAAGUGGCGCACGGGUGAGUAACACGUGGGUAACCUGCCUCUAAGAUUGGGAUAACUCGUCGAAAGAUGAGCUAAUACCGAAUAAGACCACAGUUCCCGCGGGAACAGGGGUCAAAGGUAGCCUCUGCUUGCAAGCUAUCACUUAGAGAUGGGCCUGCGCACCAUUAGCUAGUUGGUAGGGUAACGGCCUACCAAGGCAAAGAUGGUUAGCUGGUCUGAGAGGAUGAUCAGCCACACUGGAACUGAGACACGGUCCAGACUCCUACGGGAGGCAGCAGUGGGGAAUAUUGCGCAAUGGGCGAAAGCUUGACGCAGCAACGCCGCGUGAGUGAUGAAGGCCUUCGGGUCGUAAAGCUCUGCCGGGAGGAACGAAUGCUCCUGAGGUUAACAGCCUCGGGAGGUGACGGUACCUUCAAAGGAAGCACCGGCUAACUCUGUG